GAAGUAAGAAAAAUGUCUCUCCCUCAAAAAUAAAAGGCAUUUGUGCUUGUGCUGAGGUUUUUUUUUUGUUUGUUUUUUGUGUUUUUUUUUUUUGUUUU
This 98-nucleotide non-coding RNA is filed under the name Platyophrya macrostoma. Lineage: Eukaryota; Ciliophora; Colpodea; Cyrtolophosidida; Platyophryidae. The record is from RNAcentral.